Molecule: ribosomal RNA, 915 nt
Filed under: Triticum aestivum (bread wheat)
Lineage: Eukaryota; Viridiplantae; Streptophyta; Magnoliopsida; Poales; Poaceae
Description: partial small subunit ribosomal RNA
Source: RNAcentral
AUGCCGGUGCGGCGGCGGGCCCCGCGGCCGCAGGACACGGGGGUGGUGAAGAGGUACGCGGAGAUGGGGAUAGCGGCCGCGCUGUCGCGGCCGUGGGACUACCCGACGGCGUGCCGCGAGCUGGCCGAGCUCCUGCGCCACGGCUACGCGGGCCUCCCCAAGCCCGCCCAGGCCCUCGCCGCCGCCGACGUGCUCGUCGCGUUCCGCCUCCUCCCCGAUGUGCAGACAGAAUAUGCAUUAGCGGCAGCCAAUGGUCUUCUCCUAGCAGUAGAAACUUCCCUGCCAAAGCAAAAGAAGUCACAAGCUGUUUCAGAGUUCAAGUGUUCUGUUGUUUUACAUAAAAGGCGGGCUAAAGUCCAACAAGAGCCUGACCCCCCAGACAUACCAAAUGAUGUGCUUGUUCAUAUCUUUAGUUUUCUGGACACGCGUUCGUUGGUGGCUGCUAGUCUUGUUUGCUGGUCUUGGAAUUCAUCUGCAAACGACAACAAGCUGUGGAGAAUGAACUACUCCCUUUUCUUUAGCACGUCCCAUUUGCGCUCCAAUAGCACGCUUGUCUCCAGUGGUGUUCUUGCACAGAAUAAUGUGGAUCCAGUAUUUGAUGAUCCCAAUUUGAACUGGAAAGAGGUUUUCUACAAGAAGCAUGCAGAGCACAUAAGCUGGAGUGCCGCAUCAAAUAGAGCAAUAUGCCAGCAAUGCCGUUCAGUUCUCUGGCUGAGCAACUUGACGCGUGCUGCUCCUCACCAUUGUCCUAAGAAAGGAAAAGAUGAAAUAAAACUAAUGCCCCUGUUACCUUAUGCAGUUGCUUGUUACAUAUUAAAAGCUCAAGAUCAACCAUCUUCAUCGUCUGACAGUAACGAUUCAGAUAGUGAUUCUGAAAUCAAUGUGCCGAGGCGACUUUGGAAUUCUCGUGUUUGA